AUACGAAGGGGGCUAGCGUCGUUCGGAAUUACUGGGCGUAAAGCGCAUGUAGGCGGACAUUUAAGUCAGGGGUGAAAUCCCGGGGCUCAACCUCGGAACUGCCUUUGAUACUGGGUGUCUAGAGUGUGGAAGAGGUAAGUGGAAUUCCGAGUGUAGAGGUGAAAUUCGUAGAUAUUGGAGAACACCAGUGGCGAAGGCGCUUUCUGGACCGUAACUGACGCUGAGAUACGAAAGCGUGGGGAGC
Molecule: ribosomal RNA, 244 nt
Filed under: uncultured bacterium
Lineage: Bacteria
Description: partial 16S ribosomal RNA
Rfam family: Bacterial small subunit ribosomal RNA
Source: RNAcentral